Pteropus alecto (black flying fox) is the source of this 3652-nucleotide long non-coding RNA. RefSeq lists it as uncharacterized. NCBI's taxonomy places the organism in Eukaryota, Metazoa, Chordata, Mammalia, Chiroptera, Pteropodidae. The transcript is spliced from 3 exons. The record is from RefSeq and is a predicted model, not a curated record.
CUCAGCGUGGGAAGGAGGGAAAGAAAGACUCAGCCAAGUGUCCCGAGGAGGAGCCGGCAGGGGAGGGGAGGAAAGGACGAUCCUUUUCCAGGCAACUUGGCUUUUAAGAAUGGGAAUGCAAAAUAUAAGAAGAUUCCUGACUUCCAAGAAUUUAUCAUUCACUCAACAAUUGUACUGAACACCUUUUAUAUGCCAGGUACUGUUUUAGAUGCUGGAAAUAAUCAGUGAACCAAAGAGUCCCUCCCUUCGUGGAGCAUAUGAUAUAGUGGGUAGAAUAUAGUUAGUGAUUUGAUUUAUAUAAACACUUAAAUGGUUUAACUUCUGUAUUUUUUUUGUUUUAAGUCCAAAGGAAGUUCAUGAGUAAUUGCCACAUUAAUAAAUAGCACAGACAUUUUAAAAUCUGUACGUCUAGAGGAAGCAAAACUCACUUUAGAAUGGGAGCUCCAGGAGAAUACUAUUAAAAGUAUUUUGCUCUUGAAAUUCUGGCUUCUUUGUGCUCUCAAAAUGGAAGCGCUGCUUAAGGUGGUCAGAACUGGAGUGGCUUAGGUUUAAUGUGGCAAAUACUAAAAAACUGGUAGAAAUAGUAACCAUACACUAACUAGAUGAGAAUUAGCAGGUAUUGCCUCUUGCAGCCAAUAACACAGGUGGUUGUCCCUACAGCUCCAGCAUGUUCUGUUCACUCCAGCAGAAGAAAAUUGCGUAGAUUAGUCUUAUUUUAUUUAUCUUACUAAAUCCUACUCAAAACUCUAAAAAGAUACCUGAAGCUAAUGUCAUCUAAAAAAAAAAUCCAAAAGCUCACUCCCCAAAAAUGGCAAAUGUUUUUGAUAUGUUUUAGAACCGUGGUAGCACUGACAAACUGAGGUCAAAUGCAAGCCCGUGACAGCAAACUGUCAUCUCAAUGACUUCUGAAUAAGGAAUUUAAGAAAACUAGACUUGGUGGCCGUUGUCUAAGAGACUUUGCAACAAAUUGUGCCAAUGCCAUUUCAAGCCACAGACCAAUUUUAAAGAUUUAAAAUAAAUUGAAACCAUCCAGGUGGGCUCCAUGAAGUGCUGGUUGCACACCUCCUCUGGGUCCAUGCCAGCAAAGCAAAGACGGAGCACCUACCUCAGGCAUCUCCCGAGAGACAGACACGAACUGCAGGCAGCGGGGUUGCAUGGCGGAAACCGGGCCAUCUGGUGAGAGCGUCGGAUGGCAUCCGGAGUAGGUCAGGGAGGACUUCAUGAGGACUAGAUGUGAGCUGAGACCAAGACAAGAGCUGGAGACAGUCCUGUGAGCCAAGGAUGAGUGAACACAGUACUUGUCCCUGGGUCGAGUGGUAAGCGAUACGCUAUUACAGGAUGUAAAGUUGGGUGUCAGGACCACUGAGGAGCAGGCCAAGGAGCAGAUCAGGAAGUGCCUGGUAAAUCAAGAAUUAAGACUGAUUCAGCCAGUCAGUGGUUUUCAAAUUACCCUUUGGUUUUACAAAUUAAUGGACUUCUGAGGUUCCACAAACAUUUUAUUCAAAUCUCCUCUUUAGGAAUAUUUUCCACUAAUUUAAAAUAAUACGAAGGAAAUAUCUACACCCUCAAAUGUUUCAUAUAUCAAGUUUUAAUGCCUUAACUUGUGCUUCCAAAAUCUAGAUGAACAUAUUUUGAUGAGGACCACAAAGGAAAGCAUCUGUCAUCGCUGUGAAUACAGUAGAAUUUCUGACAAAGGUGUCAUUGUUUGGGAAGGCUGAGCUGUGACCAACCCUCUUUGGUUUCGUGCCUGUACAAGACAGGUACAAUCAGAGAAAUAAAGCCUGAGAAUAGGAGAAGCUCAGAUGUACCAGCUCAGCACAGAAUCUUGGAACACUGACAGUUCAUGAAAACACACUGACCAACUUGUGAUUUUUACAUCAAGCUACAGAGUUAACACAUAGUAAUUUUCGAUCUGAAUUUGGUACUUGUGAUAAGGACACAAAAAUUUGGUAGAUAUUGUUAAUGAUUCAACUCAAAAGUCUCAACAUUCUUGGAUCUCUAGGAUCCUCUGAAUUGAAGAGUAUCCUAAAAUCAGCAAUUAAAACAACAUGAUUUUAACUCAUUCGUUCAACAAAUGUUUGUGUGCCUUCCGUGUACUGGGUGCUGCUGGGUGCUAUGCCAAACACUAAGGAAACAAUAUAGAGCAAAAGCACAGGUUCUCUGCCCUCGUGGAGCUAGAUGCUGAGCAAAGAAGCACAUAAGCCGAACUAAGAUGUAGACCAAACAGGAUGUCAACCAAUGUAAGUGCUGUCAAGGAGAGACACCCAAGUGAUUGAGGGUGUGGCCCGGUCAUGGAGGUCAGGGAGGGCUCUUCAGAGGAAGUGAAGCUUGAUCUGCGACCUGGAAGAUUAGGCAACAGAAAAGAAGGCCAGAGCAGCGGGAGUGCAGAGAUCACAGCGGUGAGGCCACACAGGCCACUUAGAACAUAAUGGGGAGCUUUGUCCUGAUGCUGAGAGACCCAGAGGCAUUGAUUUUUAAGAGAACGAAGUGGCUGGAAGUAAGGUACACUUCUUUUACAUUUUAAUAUCUUCAAAAUCAAAAUUUAAUUAGCUCUUUUUUCUUUCUGGGCUAUACACAAAAUGAUAUAACUUACAGUUGAUGGUAUUUUAGAGUUGAUGAAAUAUGGUAAUCAGGUGUGCAUUUUUAAAAGAUCAUAUAAUGUGGAGAACAGAUUUAUGAUUAUCUGCGUGGAUCAGGGUUUUAUUAUAAAAUGCAGAAAUUAAUUGACUAUGGGUGCUGAGUAACACUAAUAUUUUCAUAUGUGUUUCACUGCAUGAUUUAAAAGUCGAUCAAAACAGUUCCUUUGUUCUGGUUAAUUUGAUUAUAAGUAAAUAUAAUUAAUCUGAACUAAUAAAAUCUAUCUUUCAAAAAUACCACUUUUAUCCAAUAAAUUAAAAUAUAUAAAUUGAUAUAAAUAUACAUAAAUAGGAACAGAUAAAAUCUGUGCAGAAUUUUCCUGAAUAAAAGUGUUCUGCUAUGAAAAACUAAAGGUUUGAAAAGUACUGUUCUGGGUAAUAGAGAUUCACUAAGGAUUUUUGCAGAGGAAAAUGACAAUUAAAGCUGCAGAACAGAGCUAUGAUGAUGGCCACAGCCACGUGGAAGACAUGAAGGAGAGGGAGGAAGUUUCUGUGAGAAUGGAAGAGGAGCCUUUGAACUCUUGACAUGGUCUUGUUUCUUAUCCAAAAAAAAUGUAUAAUACUCUCUACCUCCUAAAAACCUUUCAUGCAUUCUACUUAAUAAGAUAUACAAAUGAUUGACAAUUUCCCUCCCUACCUUACAUUUUUUUCUCUGGUAAGUUUAUUUAGUACCAAGAUAAGUCUUUCUCUUCUCUAAAACUAUUGAAGUGUCUCUUUGGCAUAUUUUUUUUAAGGGACAGAUUGGCAUGCAACAGGAAAAAAUCGUGUAUGCAUUCAUACGCUGUUAUGCCAGACUGUCUCAGCGACUGCCCCCAGCUCCUCCAUUAUUCUGUCAUUGGGUCAUUCUCACCUUUGCCCAUGGUCUCGCUCCCCCAAGGGCAGGGCCAUCUUGGCCUCCACAGAAGCUCUGCAGAAGGGCCGAGGCAGUCGGAUGCAUCAAUAGUGCUUUUGCAUUUUGCUUACUGUAUCAAAUUAAUUUUCCCCAAGUCAUAGACCUUAUUUAAGCAGUGAUUAAA